RNAcentral lists this non-coding RNA (21 nucleotides) under Caenorhabditis elegans. Lineage: Eukaryota; Metazoa; Nematoda; Chromadorea; Rhabditida; Rhabditidae. The record is from RNAcentral.
UUCCAAGAUUUUCAACUUUGA